This 468-nucleotide ribosomal RNA is filed under the name uncultured bacterium. RNAcentral describes it as "bacterial SSU rRNA". It matches the Rfam family "Bacterial small subunit ribosomal RNA", at positions 36 to 518 of the family's 1533-position model. The record is from RNAcentral.
CUGGCGGCGUGCCUAACACAUGCAAGUCGAACGGGGUCAAAAAGCUUGCUUUUGACUAGUGGCGGACGGGUGAGUAACGCGUGAGUAACCUGCCUCUGAGAGGGGAAUAACGUUCUGAAAAGAACGCUAAUACCGCAUAACGUAUCGAAGCCGCAUGACUUUGAUACCAAAGAUUUUAUCGCUCGGAGAUGGACUCGCGUCCGAUUAGUUAGUUGGUGAGGUAACGGCUCACCAAGACCGCCGAUCGGUAGCCGGACUGAGAGGUUGAUCGGCCACAUUGGGACUGAGACACGGCCCAGACUCCUACGGGAGGCAGCAGUGGGGGAGUAUUGCGCAAUGGGGGCAACCCUGACGCCAGCAACGCCGCGUGAAGGAUGAAGGUUUUCGGAUUGUAAACUUCUUUUAUCAGGGACGAAGCUUGACGGUACCUGAUGAAUAAGCUCCGGCUAACUACGUGCCAGCAGCCGC